AGGACGAACGCUGGCGGCGUGCUUAACACAUGCAAGUCAAGGGGGCCCAGCAAUGGGCAACCGGCGAACGGGUGCGUAACACGUGAGCAACCUACCGAACUGUGGGGGAUAGCCGGCCUAACGGCCGAGUAAUACCGCAUACGCUCUCAGUGAGGCAUUUCAUUGAGAGGAAACCUACGGGACAGAUCGAGGGGCUCGCGGCCUAUCGAGCUAGUUGGCGAGGUAACGCUCACCAAGGCAACGACGGUAGCUGGUCUGAGAGGAUGGCCAGCCACAUUGGGACUGAGAUACGGCCCAGACUCCGUAACGGGAGGCAGCAGUGGGGAAUCGUUGCGCAAUCGGCUAACGGCUGACGCAGCGACGCCGCGUGUGGAUGGAAGUCU
This 383-nucleotide ribosomal RNA is filed under the name uncultured soil bacterium. RNAcentral describes it as "bacterial SSU rRNA". It matches the Rfam family "Bacterial small subunit ribosomal RNA", at positions 26 to 416 of the family's 1533-position model. The record is from RNAcentral.